GACGAACGCUGGCGGCGUGCUUAACACAUGCAAGUCGAACGGAAAGGCCCUGCUUUUGUGGGGUGCUCGAGUGGCGAACGGGUGAGUAACACGUGAGUAACCUGCCUUUGACUUUGGGAUAACUUCAGGAAACUGGGUCUAAUACCGGAUAUGAGCUCCUUCUGCAUGGUGGGUGGUGGAAAGUUUCGGCGGUUGGGGAUGGACUCGCGGCUUAUCAGCUUGUUGGUGGGGUAGUGGCUUACCAAGGCUUUGACGGGUAGCCGGCCUGAGAGGGUGACCGGCCACAUUGGGACUGAGAUACGGCCCAGACUCCUACGGGAGGCAGCAGUGGGGAAUAUUGCACAAUGGGCGGAAGCCUGAUGCAGCAACGCCGCGUGCGGGAUGACGGCCUUCGGGUUGUAACCCGCUUUCGCCUGUGACGAAGCGUGAGUGACGGUAAUGGGUAAAGAAGCACCGGCUAACUACGUG
This 468-nucleotide ribosomal RNA is filed under the name uncultured bacterium. Its description in RNAcentral is "partial 16S ribosomal RNA". It matches the Rfam family "Bacterial small subunit ribosomal RNA", at positions 28 to 507 of the family's 1533-position model. The record is from RNAcentral.